ACCCAGCUGACGAGUCCCAAAUAGGACGAAACACGUGUCAAACUGGAU
Non-coding RNA from Schistosoma margrebowiei, 48 nucleotides. The record is from Rfam. Lineage: Eukaryota; Metazoa; Platyhelminthes; Trematoda; Strigeidida; Schistosomatidae.